This 682-nucleotide ribosomal RNA is filed under the name Staphylococcus sp. Ob 22. Its description in RNAcentral is "bacterial SSU rRNA". It matches the Rfam family "Bacterial small subunit ribosomal RNA", at positions 63 to 728 of the family's 1533-position model. The record is from RNAcentral. Lineage: Bacteria; Bacillati; Bacillota; Bacilli; Caryophanales; Staphylococcaceae.
GGAGCGAACAGAUAAGGAGCUUGCUCCUUUGACGUUAGCGGCGGACGGGUGAGUAACACGUGGAUAACCUACCUAUAAGACUGGGAUAACUUCGGGAAACCGGAGCUAAUACCGGAUAAGAUUUUGAACCGCAUGGUUCAAUAGUGAAAGACGGCCUUGCUGUCACUUAUAGAUGGAUCCGCUCCGUAUUAGCUAGUUGGUAAGGUAACGGCUUACCAAGGCAACGAUACGUAGCCGACCUGAGAGGGUGAUCGGCCACACUGGAACUGAGACACGGUCCAGACUCCUACGGGAGGCAGCAGUAGGGAAUCUUCCGCAAUGGGCGAAAGCUGACGGAGCAACGCCGCGUGAGUGAUGAAGGUCUUCGGAUCGUAAAACUCUGUUAUCAGGGAAGAACAAACGUGUAAGUAACUGUGCACGUCUUGACGGUACCUGAUCAGAAAGCCACGGCUAACUACGUGCCAGCAGCCGCGGUAAUACGUAGGUGGCAAGCGUUAUCCGGAAUUAUUGGGCGUAAAGCGCGCGUAGGSGGUUUUUUAAGUCUGAUGUGAAAGCCCACGGCUCAACCGUGGAGGGUCAUUGGAAACUGGAAAACUUGAGUGCAGAAGAGGAAAGUGGAAUUCCAUGUGUAGCGGUGAAAUGCGCAGAGAUAUGGAGGAACACCAGUGGCGAAGGCGACUUU